CAGUCGCCGCGGUAAUACGUAGGUCCCGAGCGUUGUCCGGAUUUAUUGGGCGUAAAGCGAGCGCAGGCGGUUAGAUAAGUCUGAAGUUAAAGGCUGUGGCUUAACCAUAGUACGCUUUGGAAACUGUUUAACUUGAGUGCAAGAGGGGAGAGUGGAAUUCCAUGUGUAGCGGUGAAAUGCGUAGAUAUAUGGAGGAACACCGGUGGCGAAAGCGGCUCUCUGGCUUGUAACUGACGCUGAGGCUCGAAAGCGUGGGGAGCAAACAGGAUUAGAGACCCCCGUAGUCCCUGUCUCUUAUACA
Molecule: ribosomal RNA, 301 nt
Filed under: uncultured bacterium
Lineage: Bacteria
Description: partial 16S ribosomal RNA
Rfam family: Bacterial small subunit ribosomal RNA
Source: RNAcentral